UUUCUAUUGUAAAUUUGUUUCGUUUUGAUAAUGAUUAUUCAAUUUUAGAUGAUAUAGAUGUUUGCAUUUAUAAUUGUAAGAGGGAAACUACUUGAGUGAGAUAAACCAUUCAAACUGUCAUCUAGAUGCAGGACUACGUUCUGAGGUCUAAUAUUCAAGUUAUCACUAAUUUUAUAUUCAUAAUAUCUUCUUCAUUUCAAGAUAAGAUUAUAUUGUUAAUAGUUAUUAUCAAUAAAAUAUUGGAAUCAUGUUGCAACUUUAGUUAUAUUCUUAUUCAAAAAUAUUGUUUUGUUCAGUAGUUAUAUUCAUGGAAUAUCAAUUUAUUAUUACUUGAUGUGCUAAUUUUUUAUUUUAAAUAUUGUUUAGUUUAGUUGAUGAUUACCCAAUUCUAGAUGAUAUUGAUGAUUGUGCUCAUAAUAGUUGAGGGGACCAGGUUUAGCAGAUGAAGCAUUCAUACCAUCAUCUAGAUGUAGGAAUAGGUAUUGAGUUAUUUUGUCAGCAUUAAUAAUCGGAAUAAGUUUGUUUCUUCUUUCACCAUUGCGAGACCAUCUUCCGCGCCUUUUGAUAGUUCUCCUCAAUCUGAUAUUGGUUCUUCUUUCAUCAAUUUCUUGAACGAGAGACCAUUGAAUUCUGAGGAGCUGCAGAAUUAUAUGACAGAUGUGACCGCCGGGAGUAUGUGGGAUGGUGUUCUGAGAAGCGAUUAUCCAUCUGCUUUUCCUUUGUCUACUCAUGUUUUAUAAUGGGUGACUGUUUCUCGAUAGAGGGAUGGGAUUCAAGAUCAUUUCGGCACUAAUGGCAAUCGUCGGAGGGCAAGUUUCAUGUAAAUAGCAAACUGAAUAGUGGAUACCAUUGUUAGUAUGUGUAUUGCUUUCAAGCUGGUUUUUACAUGAACGAGAUAGAUCUAUGGAAAUUUAAAAGAUAGGUAUUGUAGAUGUCUGUGAAAGUAAAUAAUUCCUCAUUUAACCA
Long non-coding RNA from Cryptomeria japonica (Japanese cedar), 966 nucleotides. RefSeq lists it as uncharacterized. Lineage: Eukaryota; Viridiplantae; Streptophyta; Pinopsida; Cupressales; Cupressaceae. The transcript is spliced from 2 exons. The record is from RefSeq and is a predicted model, not a curated record.